This 63-nucleotide transfer RNA is filed under the name Nephus voeltzkowi. Its description in RNAcentral is "tRNA-His". Lineage: Eukaryota; Metazoa; Arthropoda; Insecta; Coleoptera; Coccinellidae. The record is from RNAcentral.
AUUUAAGUAGUUUAUUAUAAAAUAUUGAUUUGUGGUAUCAAAGAAAUUUAUUAAUCUUAAAUU